AUAAAUGAAAUUAAUUUAAGAAUAUUAUUGCCAAGAUAUUAUUGUAAAAGUACAUAAAAUUUAAGGAAAAAUGUAACGUAUUUAAUAUCAAGGUAUAUUGAGGUAUUUUUUAAAAUAUAAUAACUAAACGAGCAUUGAAGUUAAAAUAUAGGUACCAGACGAACAUUUUCUCUUUUAGAAAGUUUUAUAUUUUAUUAAUGAAAGUCUGAAUAACAAAAUUAAGGUUUUGGACUUCUUUUAAACUAAACUUAAAUAUAACAAAUUUACCAAAAUAACUAAACCUAACAUAUUACUACAUAAUAACAUUCUCCUAACUGAAAUAAGAUAAAUGUUACUCAAAUUCUAUAUCUAGAAAAAAAAAAGAUAAAAAUCCUAAAAACAAUAGGAAAAUAGAUCUUAAACUUGUAAAAUAAUAUGAAAUAAAUAUAAUUUUCAAUCGAACCACGAGACUAAUGCGGCGCUACAGUAUUAGAUUAGUUUCCCCUCGUCGCGAACUUCGAAAUGUAUAUUAUACACCCUAAAUAGAUACUUAUAGCUCAAGUUGUUACCCUAGAGAGAUACUCCACUCAUCCUACGCAACCUAGAGAGAUACUCCACUCAUCCUACGCAACCAUCCGCUGCAUCAAAUUCGUUCCAAAAUUAAGAAUAAACCAGCUGAUGCAUUCCAAAUAAUUUAGAUGAAACGAUAAAAUAAACCUAGAGAUCAAAUAACAUGAAAUGAAAAAGAUAAUUACCUUGGACUGAAGCUCAUACAAAUUCAUUAUUUGACACCUGCGGCAAUUGUUGAAAUAAUAGUUAAUGAAAUAUAAAAUAAGACAAGUACAUAUUAAUGAAACACCACUGUGAAUCGAUAGCUAAGGACGGAGUAAAAUUUAAUUGUAAAUUAGGACAGUAGAGCAAGCAUCCAUAAACAUAACAUGAACGUAAUACAUCAAUUGAAAUAUCAUAGGAUAAAUUGGGACAUCAGAGAAAGAAAUAAGUAAAUAAAUCAGCAAAGGAAACAUGCAUAAACAAAUAAAAAAACAAAGACAAAAUAAGGAAGAGUUUGUGAUAAUUUUCUUCUAUGGUCAUUGAAGUCCAAAAACUAAUAAGGAUCGAGCAAUUGAACGGUUGCAAACUCAAUGGAAAUACAAUGGAACCUUAAAAAUGAACAGUGAAGGAAAAUGAAGAAAUCUGCAGGAAAUAAGACGAGUGAGAGUGAAGAAUUAAUUACCACUGAGUAAAUGCGAAUGAAGAAUGGAGACAGAUCCUUCUUCGCCCCAUUGAGAAGUGAGAUUCAUAGAUUGCAUUGAAAUUGAGAGUUGAGAUCAAGAAGCGAUUCUUCUUCUCCGUAAUUUCCUUUUUCUUUUAAUGUUGUUAUUAUUAUUAUUAUUUUUUUUUUUCAAUUUCAUGAUAUCUUUUUUGUUUUAAACAGUAUUGGCAUAUUACAUUUAUUUAUGUUAAUUUUACAAUACCUCCCUUCAGAUUGCACAAAUUACAUUAAAAAAAAAAGUGCUUUAUGUAUAAAACUUUCAAACAAAUUGGGCCAAAAUCUAACUUUACCAAGUUUAGAGUAAUUUUGGGCUCGACAUUCCAUUUCCGACAAACGAUUUUUCUUGGCGUUUGAUUUUUCUUUAUACUUUUCAUAUUUAUCCAACGGCUCGUCAAUGACAAUACCUUUGUAAAAAGUACUUAUUUUGAAUAUUAUAUUGUGGAAAUGUCUGGUCGGUAAUACAACUAUUUCUUAUAGUGUAAAACUGAUACACUAGCGUUCACAUUUUGAUGAGUAAAUUAAGGAUUUCAAGAUGAAGUACAUAAUUAGAUUAAUGCUAAGAAACUGAAGUUUGAUCGAUUGAAAAUGAAAAUAAUAAUGAAGGUAAUUAAGAAAAUGAACAAUAUAUGCAGAAGCGGUCCUAUUAGGACUUCUAGAUUUUCUCUUGGGCUUUCCUUAUUAUUGUUAAAAAAUGACACGAAGAACUUUGAGUUUAAAAAUCUGGCCCUGAUGCCUGGUAGCCCUCCAUGAAGCACCAGAUGUUUUGAUGAGAAAUGACAAGACCAUUUAUCAAAUUUCUUGUGGAUAUAAAUACAUACACAUAGACGAGACCAACCUCCUCAAAUGAGAAUCAGAGUGAUUAAAAGACCUUGCAAUGAGACAAUGAUACACCAUCAAAUGUCAAAAUACAAUAGAAAUUCACGACAUAUAUAUAAUAAAAGACCUCUCAUUGAGUCAUAUAUAUUGAGAAUAAAAAUGUUAUAAUACAUACACAGAGCUUAGCUAGAAUAAAAUGUCUUUGAACUUGCGAUGAUCAAACAAAGGAAACAGACAGGUUGUAACUCACACUAUCACAAGAAGAUCACGAAGAUGGAAAUGGGAACCCAUCAGAAUGGAAACUUUGAAUAGAUGAAAAAAGAAAAACGACCUUAUUCACAGAAGAAGAGUGACUUAAAUCUUCAUCAGUAUCCAGACAUUUUGCAAUCAUAGAGUAGAGAAAUUUUAACAGGAACAGCAGAGAAAAUAUUAUGAAUAUGCUAUAGACCAAUAU
This 2522-nucleotide long non-coding RNA is filed under the name Citrus x clementina. Its description in RNAcentral is "Citrus clementina (C. clementina) long non-coding RNA (CCLE_LNC006230)". Lineage: Eukaryota; Viridiplantae; Streptophyta; Magnoliopsida; Sapindales; Rutaceae. The record is from RNAcentral.